This 424-nucleotide ribosomal RNA is filed under the name Verrucomicrobiota bacterium. Its description in RNAcentral is "Verrucomicrobia bacterium partial 16S ribosomal RNA". It matches the Rfam family "Bacterial small subunit ribosomal RNA", at positions 355 to 776 of the family's 1533-position model. Lineage: Bacteria; Pseudomonadati; Verrucomicrobiota. The record is from RNAcentral.
UGGGGAAUAUUGGUCAAUGGGCGAGAGCCUGAACCAGCCAAGUAGCGUGCAGGAUGACGGCCCUAUGGGUUGUAAACUGCUUUUAUAUGGGAAUAAAGUGAGGGACGUGUCCCUUAUUGCAUGUACCAUACGAAUAAGGACCGGCUAAUUCCGUGCCAGCAGCCGCGGUAAUACGGAAGGUCCAGGCGUUAUCCGGAUUUAUUGGGUUUAAAGGGAGCGUAGGCUGUUUGUUAAGCGUGUUGUGAAAUGUAAGAGCUCAACUUUUAGAUUGCAGCGCGAACUGGCAGACUUGAGUGAGCACAACGUAGGCGGAAUUCAUGGUGUAGCGGUGAAAUGCUUAGAUAUCAUGACGAACUCCGAUUGCGCAGGCAGCUUACUGUAGCAUAACUGACGCUGAUGCUCGAAAGUGCGGGUAUCAAACAGG